RNAcentral lists this small RNA (918 nucleotides) under Pongo abelii (Sumatran orangutan). Its description in RNAcentral is "retained intron". Lineage: Eukaryota; Metazoa; Chordata; Mammalia; Primates; Hominidae. The record is from RNAcentral.
ACAUAAGCCCAAACAUGGAGCAUAUUUGGAGUUGGUGGGCAAACCCAAAUCAUGAUGCAAGCCUGCGGUAGCAGGUGUGCAAUGAAGCACAACCAAAUUCUGUGAAUGGAAGGUAGCAAGACGCCUCUCCAAAGCAGCCCUUCUGCGCAGGAGCUGAAAGCUCCACUGGAAAGAAGACAUAGCUCAUCCAGCAAGCCGCCUUUGGCUGUUCCUCCCACAUCAGUAUUUUCCUUCUUCCCUUCUCUGUCCAAAAGCAAAGGAGGCAGUGCAAGUGGAAGUAACCGUUCUUCCAGUGGAGGUGUUCUUAGCGCAUCCUCAUCAAGUUCCAAGUUGUUGAAAUCACCCAAAGAGAAACUGCAGCUCAGGGGGAACACCAGGCCAAUGCAUCCCAUUCAGCAAAGUAGAGUUCCCCAUGGUAGAAUGUGAGUAUGGCCAAGAGGGUUUUUAAAGCUUACCUGCUGGAAAUGGAACUGCGUACACUAGUGGCAUGUGAGAGUGCCUGUGAAUAAUACAAAAGAGAGCCUACUUGGGGAAGAAUUCAAAUGUAUGUUGUAUUGUUUCUUGAUGUUUCCCUAUCAUGUCAUAGGAAGCUUUUUAGAGUAGUAAUAGCAGUGAUAAUAAGGUUACUAAUAUUUAUUGAUCUAUCCUUGUGUGCUAGCUACUGAAACGUAACUCUAUGUGUGUACUAUGUCACUUACCACAACAACCCUAUGGAAUAGGUACUGUUACUAUCCUCGUUUUCCAGAUGAGGAGAAGGAAGCUUCGUGAGGUGGGGGAGUUUUGUCCAAGAAGGCCUCAAGUCAUAUAGGCCUGGAUUUGUGUCCCAUUUCUGCCACUUCUUAGCUGUAGGGGUUUAGGCAAGGCACCGUUUCUCUCUAAGAAUAACAGCCACUAUGCUGGGUUAUUGAGAAUAUUUUA